CCUACGGGGGGCAGCAGUAGGGAAUGUUGCGCAAUGGGCGAAAGCCUGACACAGCAACGCCGCGUGAUGGAGACGCCCUUCGGGGUGUAAAGAUCUGUUAGUGGGGACGAAACUUGACGGUACCCACAGAGGAAGCACCGGCUAACUCCGUGCCAGCAGCCGCGGUAAUACUGGGGGGGCAAGCGUUGUCCGGAUUCAUUGGGCGUAAAGAGGUCGUAGGCGGCACGUAAAGUCUGGUGUUAAAGGCAGAGGCUCAACUUCUGUACGGCACUGGAUACUUGCGAGCUAGAGUGCGGUAGAGGUAAAGGGAAUUCCUGGUGUAGCGGUGAAAUGCUUAGAUAUCAGGAGGAACAUCGGUGGCGAAGGCGCUUUACUGGGCCGUAAUUGACGCUGAGGAACGAAAGCCAGGGUAGCAAAUGGGAUUAGAUACCCCAGUAGUC
Molecule: ribosomal RNA, 440 nt
Filed under: uncultured bacterium
Lineage: Bacteria
Description: partial 16S ribosomal RNA
Rfam family: Bacterial small subunit ribosomal RNA
Source: RNAcentral